GAUGAACGCUAGCGGCAGGCUUAAUACAUGCAAGUCGAGGGGUAACAUGGGGUAGCAAUACUCUGAUGACGACCGGCAAACGGGUGCGGAACACGUACGCAACUUUCCAAAACUGGUGAAUAGCCCUCCGAAAGGAGGAUUAAUACACCGUAACAUAUAGAGGUGGCAUCGCCUUUAUAUUAUAGCUCCGGCGGUUUUGGAUGGGCGUGCGCCUGAUUAGGUAGUUGGUGUGGUAACGGCUCACCAAGCCUACGAUCAGUAGCUGGUCUGAGAGGAUGAUCAGCCACGUCGGGACUGAGACACGGCCCGGACUCCUACGGGAGGCAGCAGUCGGGAAUAUUGGACAAUGGGGGAAACCCUGAUCCAGCAAUACCGCGUGUGUGAAGAAGGCCUGCGGGUUGUAAAGCACUUUCAGUUGGGAAGGAUAAUGACGUUACCAACAGAAGAAGCACCGGCUAACUACCGUGCCAGCAGCCGCCGGUAAUGUAGA
RNAcentral lists this ribosomal RNA (490 nucleotides) under uncultured bacterium. RNAcentral's name for it is "bacterial SSU rRNA". It matches the Rfam family "Bacterial small subunit ribosomal RNA", at positions 28 to 529 of the family's 1533-position model. The record is from RNAcentral.